Molecule: ribosomal RNA, 1526 nt
Filed under: Klebsiella aerogenes
Lineage: Bacteria; Pseudomonadati; Pseudomonadota; Gammaproteobacteria; Enterobacterales; Enterobacteriaceae
Description: bacterial SSU rRNA
Rfam family: Bacterial small subunit ribosomal RNA
Source: RNAcentral
GAGUUUGAUCAUGGCUCAGAUUGAACGCUGGCGGCAGGCCUAACACAUGCAAGUCGAGCGGUAGCACAGAGAGCUUGCUCUCGGGUGACGAGCGGCGGACGGGUGAGUAAUGUCUGGGAAACUGCCUGAUGGAGGGGGAUAACUACUGGAAACGGUAGCUAAUACCGCAUAACGUCGCAAGACCAAAGUGGGGGACCUUCGGGCCUCAUGCCAUCAGAUGUGCCCAGAUGGGAUUAGCUAGUAGGUGGGGUAAUGGCUCACCUAGGCGACGAUCCCUAGCUGGUCUGAGAGGAUGACCAGCCACACUGGAACUGAGACACGGUCCAGACUCCUACGGGAGGCAGCAGUGGGGAAUAUUGCACAAUGGGCGCAAGCCUGAUGCAGCCAUGCCGCGUGUAUGAAGAAGGCCUUCGGGUUGUAAAGUACUUUCAGCGAGGAGGAAGGCGUUAAGGUUAAUAACCUUGGCGAUUGACGUUACUCGCAGAAGAAGCACCGGCUAACUCCGUGCCAGCAGCCGCGGUAAUACGGAGGGUGCAAGCGUUAAUCGGAAUUACUGGGCGUAAAGCGCACGCAGGCGGUCUGUCAAGUCGGAUGUGAAAUCCCCGGGCUCAACCUGGGAACUGCAUUCGAAACUGGCAGGCUAGAGUCUUGUAGAGGGGGGUAGAAUUCCAGGUGUAGCGGUGAAAUGCGUAGAGAUCUGGAGGAAUACCGGUGGCGAAGGCGGCCCCCUGGACAAAGACUGACGCUCAGGUGCGAAAGCGUGGGGAGCAAACAGGAUUAGAUACCCUGGUAGUCCACGCCGUAAACGAUGUCGACUUGGAGGUUGUGCCCUUGAGGCGUGGCUUCCGGAGCUAACGCGUUAAGUCGACCGCCUGGGGAGUACGGCCGCAAGGUUAAAACUCAAAUGAAUUGACGGGGGCCCGCACAAGCGGUGGAGCAUGUGGUUUAAUUCGAUGCAACGCGAAGAACCUUACCUACUCUUGACAUCCAGAGAACUUAGCAGAGAUGCUUUGGUGCCUUCGGGAACUCUGAGACAGGUGCUGCAUGGCUGUCGUCAGCUCGUGUUGUGAAAUGUUGGGUUAAGUCCCGCAACGAGCGCAACCCUUAUCCUUUGUUGCCAGCGGUCCGGCCGGGAACUCAAAGGAGACUGCCAGUGAUAAACUGGAGGAAGGUGGGGAUGACGUCAAGUCAUCAUGGCCCUUACGAGUAGGGCUACACACGUGCUACAAUGGCAUAUACAAAGAGAAGCGACCUCGCGAGAGCAAGCGGACCUCAUAAAGUAUGUCGUAGUCCGGAUUGGAGUCUGCAACUCGACUCCAUGAAGUCGGAAUCGCUAGUAAUCGUAGAUCAGAAUGCUACGGUGAAUACGUUCCCGGGCCUUGUACACACCGCCCGUCACACCAUGGGAGUGGGUUGCAAAAGAAGUAGGUAGCUUAACCUUCGGGAGGGCGCUUACCACUUUGUGAUUCAUGACUGGGGUGAAGUCGUAACAAGGUAACCGUAGGGGAACCUGCGGUUGGAUCACC